Molecule: transfer RNA, 71 nt
Filed under: Marmota monax (woodchuck)
Lineage: Eukaryota; Metazoa; Chordata; Mammalia; Rodentia; Sciuridae
Description: tRNA.Ala
Rfam family: tRNA
About the family: Transfer RNA (tRNA) molecules are approximately 80 nucleotides in length.
Source: RNAcentral
GUGUGUAGCUCAGCGGUAGAGUACUCACCUAGCACGUGUGAGGCCCUAAGUUCAAUCCUCAGAACCACAUA